Pygocentrus nattereri (red-bellied piranha) is the source of this 3014-nucleotide long non-coding RNA. RefSeq lists it as uncharacterized. Lineage: Eukaryota; Metazoa; Chordata; Actinopteri; Characiformes; Serrasalmidae. The transcript has 5 exons. The record is from RefSeq and is a predicted model, not a curated record.
AUGGUGAGAGAUUACUGCUCAGCGAUUCUUGCCUUUCUAAACCUUUUGUGCACUUCUGGAGUGCUGGAAACGCCUUUUCAGGCUUUCUGAGUGUAUAGAACGACGAUUUCAUGAUUGUGUAGGUUUCUUCAGCCAAGUUAACGAUUUAGGUCUCUAUCUCAUAAAAUGUGAUUUUAUUUGAGUUCUAUGACAUAUCAAGUGUGUUUCAUGUCAGAAAUGUCUAUUAAUAAUCAUUGUAAUGUUUUCACAUAAAGAGAACACUUCAUAGCAUUUCUAGCUAUUUGAAAGCGUUUAGGCGCUUCUGGUGUGCUGUAAGUGCGUUUUCAGUGUUUCUGAGCGUAUAGAACAGUUUACUCAUUGCACAGGUUUCUUAAACCAAGUUAAAGAUUUAGGUCACUAGGUCACAAAAUAUGUUUUUAAUACAGUUAUAUGACAUCAAGUGUGUUUUAUGUCAGAAAUGUCUGUUUAAAAGCAUCUUAAUAUUUUCACCUUAAGAGAACACUGCAUAGCGUUUCUAUCCUUUCUAAAGCCUUUGGGCACUUCUGGAGUGCUGGAAACGCCUUUUCAGGCUUUCUGAGUGUAUACAACGACAGUUUCAUUAUUGGACAGGUUUCUUCACAAAACUUAAAGACUUAGUUCUCUAUGCAGUGUUGUCACCUUACGAAGAAACUGCAUAGCGUUUCUAGCCUUUGUAAAGCGUUUGGGUGCUUUUGAAGUGGUGGAAAUGCCAUUUCAGGCUUUCUAAAGCAUAUAGAACGAGGGUUUCAUUGUUGGAUAGGUUUCAUCAAAAAAGUUAAGGACUUAGUUCAAUAUUUUCAUUAAAUGUGAUUUUAAUCCAGUUAUAUGACUUAUCAAGGGUGUUUCAUAUCAGAAAUGUUUGUUUAUAAUCAUCUUAAUAUUUUCAUGGUAAGAGAUUACUGCUCAGCGAUUCGAGUGUUUCUAAAGCGUUUGUGUGCUUCUGGAGUGCUGGAAACAUCUUUUCAGGCUUUCUGAGCAUACAGAACGACGAUUUCAAGAUUGUGCAGGUUUCUUCAGCCAAGUUAACGAUUUAAGUCUCUAUCUCAUAAAAUGUGAUUUUAUUUUAGUUCUAUGACAUAUCAAGUGUGUUUUAUGUCAGAAAUGUCUAUUUAUAAUCAUCGUAAUGUUUUCACAUAAAGAGAACACUUCAUAGUGUUUCUAGCCAUUCAAAAGCAUUUAGGCGCUUCCUGGCAUGCUGUAAGCGCCUUUUUAGUGUUUUUGAGCGUACAGAAUGACGAUUUCAUGAUUGUGCAAGUUUCUUCAGCCAAGUUAACGAUUUAAGUGUUUAUCUCAUGAAAUGUGAUUUUAUUUGAGUUCUAUGACAUAUCAAGUGCAUUUUAUGUCAGAAAUGUCUAUAUGUCAUCAUAAUGUUUUCACAUAAAGAGAACACUUCAUACACUGUAAAAAAUAUUUGUCCUGUGUAUUUAAAAAUAAACAUAGGCACAACAUGAAAUAUAAAAAUAGUUACCCCAAAAACAAAAAAUAGGUUGUACCAUCAUCUGCAGCAUUUUUACCAUGCGACAUAGAAUUUUAUAUUCAGUGAAUGAACAUUUCUGUUUUCAGUCAACGCGUUAAGUCCAAAGAAAAAAACUCUGUUGGGUGAGCGACAGUGAAACUACUGCGCAUGCGCACAAGAGGGACGUAUUUCUGGCGCUUUCUAGACCAAAAUGAAGACGAAGACCCAGUAUUUUACAACCAGCCCAGAAGACUCCAAAGUACCUUGAGAGACGUUCAUGUCGAAAUCCAAUGCAGUGGCGUUACUGUAAAUUCGCUGCAGAGCAAGACAUCCUGUUCAAGCACUACAGACUUCAUCAUUGGCAGACAGGGCAAAGAAACAGACAUUUGUUUAUGUCCCUGUUCUCAAGACAUUGAAGAAUCUUUUGAGUAAGCCUGAAGUACUCGAGAAGACGUUUCCAAUCCAAGAGAGCACCCAAGGUCUUUACACAUCAUGUUUUGAUGACCACAAACUUGACGGCACAUAGAAGAUAUACUGUCCUCUGGGGUUUUCCACUGUACAUGAGGGAGAGGCCUUCCAUUUCAAAGACCUUACUUGAUGCUGAAGCAUUGGAGGACCACACAAAGAACAUGAAAAUGGGAAUUCUUGAAGUGGUGAAGGAGAGUGCUGAUCCAUCGCGAUCACUGACCAGUGUGGUCAAUGUUGCAGUUGUGCUUGAAGAGGAGGUAGUAAUGGAUAACUAUGGCCUGACUACACUAAUGCCUUCAUUCUGCUCUUUGGACUUCUGUAUGCACUAAACAUAGAAUAUCCAAAAGACUUAAAAUACACAUUUGAAGUGGUCCAAAAAGUGUUCCUUCAUCUUGGAAACGAGUGCACAGCCAGAGUGCAGUCUCUAAAGAACAAGUUAGUGCACAUGUAAUCACUACACGCAUAAGCGUUAUUUUUUUUAUUUUUAAAUUUUUUUUGUGACUUACAACACACAAUGCGGUGCUUUUAUUUUAUGUUGUCCAUGUUCACCUCUGCUUGGAGCAGUUUGCUACUCAUUUAAGAGUACCCAUCUAAAAUGGCUGAGAUGACUUGGUUUGAUUCGGUUUUGUUCCACUUUUAAAAAAAAAAGACUGUUUUAGUUCUUGUCUUUGUCGUAAAUGCUGCAGUUUUUUUUAAAACAGCAUUGUCGUUGUUUCCUUCUUUGCUAGCUUCAAUGUUAAAUAUUCAUUCCACUUUUAGAAAAUCACACACACUUUAUGUUCAGUUUUUCUGUUAGCGUAACCUUCUAAAACUUUUGUUCUCUAAAGUACAAGGUAUUGUACUAAUUUCUGCAUGAAUGUCACAGAUGUUUGACUGCUGUUCUGGCACUAGUGGCAACAUUUGUCACAAAUGUGUGUAUUUAAAGUAAGAGUUUGUUUUAUUACUACUUAUUUUUGUAAAGUUUUGCUACCUAUACCACUGAAAUGGACACACACAAGUGCAAUAAUGCUGCUAUAAAGGAACCAUUUAAUAUAUCUAUUAAAGUAAUUUGUUAGUUUUAAAGCAGCUUUAA